This 97-nucleotide small nuclear RNA is filed under the name Carlito syrichta (Philippine tarsier). The record is from RNAcentral. Lineage: Eukaryota; Metazoa; Chordata; Mammalia; Primates; Tarsiidae.
GUGCUUGCUUUGGCAGCACAUAUACUAAAAUUGGAACGAUACAGAGAAGAUUAACAUGGCCCCUGCGCAAGGAUGACAUGAAGCGUUCCAUAUAUUU